RNAcentral lists this ribosomal RNA (536 nucleotides) under Halomonas sp. RNAcentral describes it as "bacterial SSU rRNA". It matches the Rfam family "Bacterial small subunit ribosomal RNA", at positions 379 to 907 of the family's 1533-position model. Lineage: Bacteria; Pseudomonadati; Pseudomonadota; Gammaproteobacteria; Oceanospirillales; Halomonadaceae. The record is from RNAcentral.
GCACCUGAUCCAGCCAUGCCGCGUGUGUGAAGAAGGCCCUCGGGUUGUAAAGCACUUUCAGCGAGGAAGAACGCCUAGCGGUUAAUACCCGCUAGGAAAGACAUCACUCGCAGAAGAAGCACCGGCUAACUCCGUGCCAGCAGCCGCGGUAAUACGGAGGGUGCAAGCGUUAAUCGGAAUUACUGGGCGUAAAGCGCGCGUAGGUGGCUUGAUAAGCCGGUUGUGAAAGCCCCGGGCUCAACCUGGGAACGGCAUCCGGAACUGUCAAGCUAGAGUGCAGGAGAGGAAGGUAGAAUUCCCGGUGUAGCGGUGAAAUGCGUAGAGAUCGGGAGGAAUACCAGUGGCGAAGGCGGCCUUCUGGACUGACACUGACACUGAGGUGCGAAAGCGUGGGUAGCAAACAGGAUUAGAUACCCUGGUAGUCCACGCCGUAAACGAUGUCGACCAGCCGUUGGGUGCCUAGCGCACUUUGUGGCGAAGUUAACGCGAUAAGUCGACCGCCUGGGGAGUACGGCCGCAAGGUUAAAACUCAAAUG